This 1268-nucleotide long non-coding RNA is filed under the name Coturnix japonica (Japanese quail). RNAcentral's name for it is "lncRNA (ENSCJPG00005003292.1)". The record is from RNAcentral. Lineage: Eukaryota; Metazoa; Chordata; Aves; Galliformes; Phasianidae.
AUGCAUUACAACCAAGCUCUAUUUAAACAGUUAUGCUUUCUACUCACUGUUAAUUUAUAUUAUUAUCUGAUUCCUUUUCUCUUUUUUGUUUGUUUGUUUGUUUGUUUUAAGUUUCUCAGAGGAGAAUGCUGUCUUGUCAGAAAGAUAACUUGUCUCCCCAAAUUGAUCAGCGGUGGCGUGAUUCUGUUAGAAGACAUGUGCAACAAAAGCCAAAGUGGGAGUGAAAUACAUGACUAUUCUAAGACCUAAUAAGUAGUGUCAUGAUCCAGUCUAAACUUAAAGGUAAAAAGUUUGAGCAUUUAGUGGGUUAAAAUACACUGAGAAAUAAGACUAUGUCAUAAUGAUAUUUACUGUUGAAAAGCUAUCUGUCUUUCUGUUUGUGAACAAGCUGGAAAUUUCAAAAAAUAUGCUAGUUCAUUUUCUACUUUAUUUUGAAUUAGUGGAGAAUGAACAAUGGGAAAAUUCAGUUCGGUGAAGGUUAUAAAAAAUGUAUUAAUAUGCAGAAUGUUCACUGACUGUGGAGAAAGAAGUAAUAUUUGUCCCUUAAACUAUACCAAUUUAUAGUACUAUUGUUGAAAAGAAGCAAAUUCUUCUAGGAAGUAUUUUCUUCUGGAAUAUCUUUUUUUUUUUUUUUUUUUUUUUUUUUUUUUUUUCUCCCCUAAUUUCCUGUUAAUUUCAUUUAGCAGUUCUUUGAGACACCAGUACUGGAUGCACAUUAAGAAAGCCAGAGGUGGCUACAGAGGAGAUCCAAAAUGUAUGUCGAUUGCUGCCAUUUUACUUGGGGAAUAAGCAGUUUACUAUCCUUCCAAAAUAAUUCCUGUACAAUCACACUAUUAUCAGGAGUUAUGCUAUGACAAAAUUACAGAAGAAAUUGUAACAUAGAUUCUUAAUCAUAAAAUCAUAGAACUAUUUGAGUUAGAAGGGACCUCAAAAUAUCAUCUGUGAUGAACAGGGAUAUCUUCAGCUAGAUUGGGUUAUUCAGAACCUUGUUCAGCAAUUUACUGAUGACAAAUAUAUCCCAUUUAACACAGAGGCUCAUAUGUUACAUACAUUUAUUUGGAAGUGAUUUAAAAAAAAAAAAUUAAAAUAUGAGGAAAAUAUUAAUCAUCUUCCUGCAAAUUAUCAUCCUCCAAUUAUUAUUUUUUCCAUAAAAUAUCUACUUUCAGAACAUGGUGCUAUAAUAGCAAACAGUGGGCAUGGCUAGGGAGCAAAGCCUUGCUAAAACUUGCAAAUAAUGCAUCAGGGAAUAAAACAAAAUCUAUUUAUCA